This 447-nucleotide ribosomal RNA is filed under the name uncultured Acidobacteriota bacterium. RNAcentral describes it as "SSU rRNA". It matches the Rfam family "Bacterial small subunit ribosomal RNA", at positions 242 to 679 of the family's 1533-position model. Lineage: Bacteria; Pseudomonadati; Acidobacteriota. The record is from RNAcentral.
CAGCUAGUUGGUGGGGUAAUGGCUCACCAAGGCAACGAUCAGUAUCCGGCCUGAGAGGGCGGACGGACACACUGGGACUGAGACACGGCCCAGACUCCUACGGGAGGCAGCAGUGGGGAAUUGUUCGCAAUGGGCGCAAGCCUGACGACGCAACGCCGCGUGGAGGAUGAAGACCUUCGGGUCGUAAACUCCUUUCGAUCGAGACGAAUGGCCUCCGGGUGAACAAUCCGGAGGAGUGACGGUACCGAGAGAAGAAGCCCCGGCUAACUCCGUGCCAGCAGCCGCGGUAAUACGGGGGGGGCAAGCGUUGUUCGGAAUUACUGGGCGUAAAGGGCUCGUAGGUUGCCAACUAAGUCAGACGUGAAAUCCCUCGGCUUAACCGGGGAACUGCGUCUGAUACUGGAUGGCUUGAGUUUGGGAGAGGGACGCCGAAUUCCCAUGUGUAGC